RNAcentral lists this ribosomal RNA (924 nucleotides) under Microsporidium sp. ZYS-4. RNAcentral describes it as "bacterial SSU rRNA". It matches the Rfam family "Microsporidia small subunit ribosomal RNA", at positions 191 to 1191 of the family's 1311-position model. Lineage: Eukaryota; Fungi; Microsporidia. The record is from RNAcentral.
GGUAAUGGCUUAACAAGACUAUGACGGAUAACGGUAUUACUUUGUAAUAUUCCGGAGAAGGAGCUGAGAGAUUGCUACUAAGUCUAAGGAUUGCAGCAGGGGCGAAACUUGACCUAUGAUAUUAUAUUGAGGCAGUUAUGAGUAGUAUUUUAUAAUUAUUGUAGUAUUCUAAGUACAUAUUACAAGAUAAAUCGGAGGGCAAAUCGAGUGCCAGCAGCCGCGGUAAUACUUGUUCCGAUAGUGUGUAUGAUGAUUGAUGCAGUUAAAAAGUCUGUAGUUUAUUUAUAAUAAGCAUUGUAAGGUAUACUGUAUGGUUAGGAGAGAGAUGAAAUGUGAUAACCCUAACUGGAUGAACAGAAGCGAAAGCUGUAUACUUAAAUGUAUUAUUAGAACAAGGACGUAAGCUAGAGGAUCGAAGAUGAUUAGAUACCAUUGUAGUUCUAGCAGUAAACUAUGUUGAAUCAUAGAUAUAUUUUGAUAUAUGUUUAUGUAGAGAAAUUAAGAUUAUAUUGACUCUGGGGAUAGUAUGAUCGCAAGAUUGAAAAUUAAAGAAAUUGACGGAAGAAUACCACAAGGAGUGGAUUGUGCGGCUUAAUUUGACUCAACGCGGGGUAAUUUACCAGGUAUAACAUGGUAUAAUAUUUUAUCAUGGUAGUGGUGCAUGGCCGUUUCCAAUGGAUGCUGUGAAGUAAUGAUUAAUUUCAACAAGAUGUGAGACCCUCAUUUAGACAGAUGUAGUGAUACAUAUGAAGGAGAGGAUUAAAACAGGUCCGUUAUGCCCUAAGAUAAUCUGGGUUGCACGCGCAAUACAAUAAUAUUUGAUAUUAUAAGGGAUAAUAUAAUGUAAGAUAUAUUUGAACACGGAAUUGCUAGUAAAUUUUAUUUAAUAAGUAGAAUUGAAUGAGUCCCUGUUCUUUGUACACA